This 406-nucleotide ribosomal RNA is filed under the name uncultured bacterium. RNAcentral describes it as "bacterial SSU rRNA". It matches the Rfam family "Bacterial small subunit ribosomal RNA", at positions 976 to 1380 of the family's 1533-position model. The record is from RNAcentral.
AGCCUUUGACAUCCCGGUCGCGGUUACCAGAGAUGGUUUCCUUCAGUUCGGCUGGACCGGUGACAGGUGCUGCAUGGCUGUCGUCAGCUCGUGUCGUGAGAUGUUGGGUUAAGUCCCGCAACGAGCGCAACCCUCGUCCUUAGUUGCCAUCAUUUAGUUGGGAACUCUAAGGAAACCGCCGGUGAUAAGCCGGAGGAAGGUGGGGAUGACGUCAAGUCCUCAUGGCCCUUACAGGCUGGGCUACACACGUGCUACAAUGGCGGUGACAGUGGGCAGCUAUCCCGCAAGGGUGAGCUAAUCUCCAAAAGCCGUCUCAGUUCGGAUUGUCCUCUGCAACUCGAGGGCAUGAAGGCGGAAUCGCUAGUAAUCGCGGAUCAGCAUGCCGCGGUGAAUACGUUCCCAGGCC